This 318-nucleotide ribosomal RNA is filed under the name uncultured bacterium. Its description in RNAcentral is "bacterial SSU rRNA". It matches the Rfam family "Bacterial small subunit ribosomal RNA", at positions 30 to 349 of the family's 1533-position model. The record is from RNAcentral.
AUUGAACGCUGGCGGCAGGCCUAACACAUGCAAGUCGAGCGCGAAAAGUUUUCGGACUGAGUAAAGCGGCGGACGGGUGAGUAAUGCAUGGGAAUCUGCCUGGUAGUGGGGGACAACGUUUCGAAAGGAACGCUAAUACCGCAUACGCCCUACGGGGGAAAGGGGGGAGGUCUUCGGACCUCUCGCUAUCAGAUGAGCCCAUGUCAGAUUAGCUUGUUGGUGAGGUAAAGGACUCACCAAGGCGACGAUCUGUAACUGGUCUGAGAGGAUGAUCAGUCACACUGGAACUGAGACACGGUCCAGACUCCUACGGGAGGC